This 428-nucleotide ribosomal RNA is filed under the name uncultured bacterium. RNAcentral describes it as "bacterial SSU rRNA". It matches the Rfam family "Bacterial small subunit ribosomal RNA", at positions 376 to 796 of the family's 1533-position model. The record is from RNAcentral.
GGCAACCGUGAUCCAUCCAUCCCGAGUGUGUGAAGAAGGCCUUAGGGUUGUAAAGCACUUUCAGCAGUGAGGAAAGUCGUAAGGUUAAUUCCCAUGUGAUGAGACGUUAACUGCAGAAGAAGGACCGGCUAACUCCGUGCCAGCAGGCGGGGUAAUUAGGAGGGUGGGAGCGUUAAUUGUAAUUAAUGGGCGUAAAGCAAGGGUAGGUGGUUCAGUCAGUCAGAUGGGAAAGCACCGGGCUCAACCUGGGAAAUGCACCUGAUAAUGCUGAGCUAGAGUACGGCAGAGGGUAGGAGAAUAUCCGGUGUAGCGGUGAAAAAAGUAGAGAUUGGAAGGAACACCAGCGGUGAAGGCGACUACCUGGACCGAUACUGACACUGAGGUGGCAAAGCGUGGGUAGCAAACAGGAUUAGAUACCCUGGUAGUCC